ACGUACACGGCACGCAUGCGACCGUCACAUAAAAAUGCAGGAGAGCAAACGCAUCAGCAAUAAAAGAUUAACAACGACCAUAAGUUCCAAGGUACCAUAGUAACCUAGAAUCAUACUGUCGCGCGUUUAUUAAUUUCGCAAGUCCGUCGCUGAAUCCUGGGUAAACAGUUGAAUCGACUUCGACGUCCCGGAAACAGUUUUCCGCCCCCAUCAGCUUCGAUGGGUUGGGGUAUUGGGCCUACCAUUGCAACAACGGGUAACGAGGAAUUAGGGUUUGAUUUCGGAGAGGGAGCCUGAGAAACGGCUACCACAUCUACGGAUGGCAGCAGGCGCGCAAAUUACCCAAUGCAGACACUGUGAGGUAGUGACGAGAAAUAAUAAAGCGGGACUUCUGUUUCGCUAUUAUAAUGAGGAAUAACCAAAGGUCAUUCCGAUUAGCAACUGAUGGGAAAGUCUGGUGCCAGCAGCCGCGGUAAUACCAGCGUCAGUAGCAUAUAUUA
Molecule: ribosomal RNA, 500 nt
Filed under: uncultured Myrionecta
Lineage: Eukaryota; Ciliophora; Litostomatea; Cyclotrichida; Mesodiniidae
Description: bacterial SSU rRNA
Rfam family: Eukaryotic small subunit ribosomal RNA
Source: RNAcentral